GUGGACUUGCUAUUCUCGAAUCUCACUUCUUUCCUAGACUGUUUGCAGGAGCAGCAGUCUAGGGUCUUCAUUUCUUGUUCUAAGUAAAGGCGCAAGCCGGUUUGGGAGGAGCCUGCGUCCUAUCAGCUUGUUGGUGGGGUAAUGGCCUACCAAGGCUUUGACGGGUAGCUGGUCUGAGAGGAUGGUCAGCCACAAUGGGACUGAGACACGGCCCAUACACCUACGGGUGGCAGCAGUUGGGAAUUGUUCACAAUGGGCGAAAGCCUGAUGACGCAAUGCCGCGUGGAGGAAGAAGGCCUUCGGGUUGUAAACUUCUUUUCUCAGGGACGAUUAUGACGGUACCUGAGGAAUAAGGGCCUGCUAACUACGUGCCAGCAGCCGCGGUAAU
RNAcentral lists this ribosomal RNA (388 nucleotides) under uncultured bacterium. RNAcentral's name for it is "bacterial SSU rRNA". It matches the Rfam family "Bacterial small subunit ribosomal RNA", at positions 173 to 524 of the family's 1533-position model. The record is from RNAcentral.